Molecule: non-coding RNA, 172 nt
Filed under: Desulfobacteraceae bacterium
Lineage: Bacteria; Pseudomonadati; Thermodesulfobacteriota; Desulfobacteria; Desulfobacterales; Desulfobacteraceae
Description: 6S RNA
Rfam family: 6S / SsrS RNA
About the family: E. coli 6S RNA was the first non coding RNA to be sequenced, but its function was unknown until recently. It consists of 184 nucleotides that fold into an extended hairpin structure with a large single-stranded internal bulge.
Source: RNAcentral
UCUUCCCUGCGCUGUUGGUGAUCAGCGAAGUAUUGAGCCAAACACUCAUACAAAGGGCGGCUCCAAUGCUAUUUAAUAGGAAUCUUCAUUGAUUCCCUGCGGAUAGCAAGACCUGCCCACCUAAUUUUCAUUAGGUUUAAUCAUUUCGCUGACACGGCAGGGUGGGGAUUUU